Molecule: long non-coding RNA, 840 nt
Organism: Mercenaria mercenaria
Lineage: Eukaryota; Metazoa; Mollusca; Bivalvia; Venerida; Veneridae
Exons: 4
Source: RefSeq, a predicted model, not a curated record
AAUCAAGGUCUACUGUGCAUUUAAUCCGUCAUGUGUUUGUUUCAGAUGAAUGAAUACCUGCACCAUGGAAACAAUGUCAUUUGCAAACUUUUUGAACCUGUGCUGGGCGUUCACAUUGACAUUUCUUGUUCAACAGGAAUACAUGAUGUCGACCAACAGUACAGCUAGAUGAAGAUAUAAACUUAUUCAAAGAAAUAAUGGGACAAUGAAUGCUAAAAUUGCCAAGAAGAAGACUGCCAAUUUACACACCAUUUUAUACAGUUACAGUAUGAUAUGAUGAACAAAAUGCCUCAAUGCAGCCAGUUCUGGAGCUUUGGCUAGACUAUGAACAGUAGACAUCAAAAGAAGAUCAUCUGAAGGGCCACAAUUGUUUAAAGCACUGGUCAACAAAAACUGAACUAUUUGAUGAAUCAUACAUCUGCAGAAUGUACUACCAUAUUUCCAGAAUCAGAGAAAUAGAAAUAUCAAGUAUUAGAGAGAAAGAAAAGUAUGCAUCAUGUAUGAAGAACUGCCUAAGAAUAAUUGCAAAAUACAUUGAAAUCUAACAUUUGCUAAUUGCAUAAGGAAGUUAAGAAAGGUGUACUCUUCUGGAAAAUAUGUGUCCAGUGCAACAUUUCUUUUCCAAUUUUGUGAGCAUAAUUCUGAAUAAAAAUUGCAACAUGGCUACAGGGAUAAUACAAAAGGUUUAAUCUUAUUUCCAAACACACUGGGGGAAUCAGAGAAGAAAUAUCAAGAAUUAGGGAAAAAGAAAUAAUUGUCAUGAAUGAAGAACUUGCUUUUUAUUAAUUUACAAAAUACUUUUUAUCCUCACAACUGUUAAUGAUAUUAUGAAUAUGGAAG